CCUCUGUGAUGACUGGAAAAUUGUCAUUCUUUCCAUGUGUGCUGGGCCUGCUCAUGUGUGACUCCUCAAGCACCUGUGUUGAAGCAGUUCUGCACAGAGAUCCAGAAUCAACAGUCCAGUGACCAUGACCAAAACUAUGGGCUAUAAAAAUUUAUUUUAUAGGACUAAAAUUGGUUGAAGAUUUUGCUGUUCUGCCAGACCCACCACAGUUCACAGAUGCAGUAGCGACUGCCAAAGAAUUGAGUCAAGCUCCAG
Mesocricetus auratus (golden hamster) is the source of this 255-nucleotide long non-coding RNA. RefSeq lists it as uncharacterized. The record is from RefSeq and is a predicted model, not a curated record. The transcript is spliced from 3 exons. NCBI's taxonomy places the organism in Eukaryota, Metazoa, Chordata, Mammalia, Rodentia, Cricetidae.